Molecule: small RNA, 535 nt
Filed under: Drosophila virilis
Lineage: Eukaryota; Metazoa; Arthropoda; Insecta; Diptera; Drosophilidae
Description: GJ26710
Source: RNAcentral
CCUUAAACAAAUCAGAAGUGUUGUCUUUAAACACAAAAGUUUUUUUUUUUGUUUUGUUAUUUUGUCUUCCUGAAAAAUAACGCACUGAUUUGCCGGCUUGUGAGACAAAAUCAAAACAGCACUAAGUGACUAUGGAUGGAAAUACGCCUUUUAAAACUCCCAGCCAGUUCGGUUUUGGAAAUGGCUCCUGCUUUAACUGCUUGAAUGGUAACUGUCCCCGCAUGGAUGGAUCGGGCCAAUCGUCAUGUUGCCCUGGUGGCAAUUGCUGUCCCGGUGGUUAUUGCAUGCGUGAUAGGAACGCCGGGCAGCCGUCUUGGCAUGUUAACAAUGGACGUCAGCAAUAAAGAGCAUGACGCUUCCAUAUCCGGCAAAUCGGCGCGUGAUUUCAAUCAAUUGAUUCCAGAAUCGCGAAUUACUAACACCUCUCCCACCGGAUGGUAUUAUUUUUUAUACAAUGUGUUACAUUGAAGGCAUGACACCACACAAAUAAAUAUUAUAGAUGGUCCUCUUCUUGGAGAAAGAUACAACAACAAAA